AACGAACGCUGGCGGCAGGCCUAACACAUGCAAGUCGAACGCCCUAGCAAUAGGGAGUGGCAGACGGGUGAGUAACACGUGGGAACCUUCCCUAUAGUACGGAAUAGCCCAGGGAAACUUGGAGUAAUACCGUAUACGCCCGAGAGGGGAAAGAUUUAUCGCUAUAGGAUGGGCCCGCGUAGGAUUAGCUAGUUGGUGAGGUAAUGGCUCACCAAGGCGACGAUCCUUAGCUGGUCUGAGAGGACGACCAGCCACACUGGGACUGAGACACGGCCCAGACUCCUACGGGAGGCAGCAGUGGGGAAUAUUGGACAAUGGGCGCAAGCCUGAUCCAGCCAUGCCGCGUGAGUGAUGAAGGCCUUAGGGUUGUAAAGCUCUUUUGUCGGGGACGAUAAUGACGGUACCCGAAGAAUAAGUCCCGGCUAACUUCGUGCCAGCCGCCGCGGUAA
This 449-nucleotide ribosomal RNA is filed under the name uncultured bacterium. RNAcentral describes it as "partial 16S ribosomal RNA". It matches the Rfam family "Bacterial small subunit ribosomal RNA", at positions 29 to 523 of the family's 1533-position model. The record is from RNAcentral.